This 253-nucleotide ribosomal RNA is filed under the name uncultured bacterium. RNAcentral describes it as "partial 16S ribosomal RNA". It matches the Rfam family "Bacterial small subunit ribosomal RNA", at positions 524 to 776 of the family's 1533-position model. The record is from RNAcentral.
UACGAAGGGGGCUAGCGUUGUUCGGAAUUAUUGGGCGUAAAGAGCUCGUAGGCGGUUUGUCACGUCUGCUGUGAAAACUGGAGGCUCAACCUCCAGCCUGCAGUGGGUACGGGCAGACUAGAGUGCGGUAGGGGGGAUUGGAAUUCCUGGUGUAGCGGUGGAAUGCGCAGAUAUCAGGAGGAACACCGAUGGCGAAGGCAGAUCUCUGGGCCGUAACUGACGCUGAGGAGCGAAAGCAUGGGGAGCGAACAGG